This 418-nucleotide ribosomal RNA is filed under the name uncultured bacterium. RNAcentral describes it as "bacterial SSU rRNA". It matches the Rfam family "Archaeal small subunit ribosomal RNA", at positions 459 to 877 of the family's 1478-position model. The record is from RNAcentral.
CAGCCGCCGCGGUAAAACCAGCACCUCAAGUGGUCAGGAUGAUUAUUGGGCCUAAAGCAUCCGUAGCCGGCUCUAUAAGUUUUCGGUUAAAUCUGUACGCUCAACGUACAGGCUGCCGGGAAUACUGCAGAGCUAGGGAGUGGGAGAGGUAGACGGUACUCGGUAGGAAGGGGUAAAAUCCUUUGAUCUAUUGAUGACCACCUGUGGCGAAGGCGGUCUACCAGAACACGUCCGACGGUGAGGGAUGAAAGCUGGGGGAGCAAACCGGAUUAGAUACCCGGGUAGUCCCAGCUGUAAACUAUGCAAACUCAGUGAUGCAUUGACUUGUGGUCAAUGCAGUGCUGCAGGGAAGCCGUUAAGUUUGCCGCCUGGGAAGUACGUACGCAAGUAUGAAACUUAAAGGAAUUGGCGGGGGAGC